RNAcentral lists this long non-coding RNA (254 nucleotides) under Fukomys damarensis (Damara mole-rat). Its description in RNAcentral is "lncRNA (ENSFDAG00000025285.1)". The record is from RNAcentral. Lineage: Eukaryota; Metazoa; Chordata; Mammalia; Rodentia; Bathyergidae.
ACUUAUUUCUACAGCCAUUAUUAUAGGAGCAGUUAAAGAGUAACUUCCUCUCUUAAAAAGGUUGAUUUGCUUUGCUCAAGGAGUGGUUCUGCUGAGAAGUGUUUAAGACAAACUUUACUUAAUGGGCAGCUACCAGAGCACCGUGACAGAAGCUAUUAUAUGGAAAUAUUAACAAAUAUGAAUUGCAAGCUUUCUGGUCCACAGUGGAGCUGAGUGGAAAGUGAAAUCAUCUGUUGCUGGUGCUGGGCCCCCAC